UAGUGCAAUCAAUGUUUACAUUAUACAACACAAAUAAACAACUUUGAAAACAAAAUUACAUUGAGAAUACACACUUACAUAUUGAAAACAAGUUGACAUUUCACAAAACACAUUAACAAAUGUAAAAACAACUCUACAAAACACAUAGGGCAACUGACAUUAACAAGUUUGAAAACAAAAUUACAUUUGCAUUACACACUUUCAUCUUUAAAAAACGAAUUACUAUUUCAUAAAACACAUUAAUAAAUGUACAACAAACAAAACAAAAAACAAAUCUAAAAUACAUUACAAAUAAUCUAAAAUACAUUUCAAUGAUCUGACAAAAAAAAACCUUUGAUACAAAUCACAUUAACAAGUUUGGAAACAAAAUUAGCCUACAUUUACAAUAUCUUACUUGAAAAAAAAAAAAAACAUUUCAUUAAACACAUUUGCAAAUGUGAAAGCAAAUGAACAAAACACAAAAGCAAACUGCGAGACACAUUUACAUUUCACGAAACACAAAGCAAAUUAACAAAACACAAAACACAAAAGCAAACUGCGAGACACAUUUACAUUUCACGAAACACAAACGCAAACUCCAAAAACACAUUACAUUAACGAAAUUUCUUACGGAAGUAAGAAAUUUCUUACGGAAGUGAGAAAUUUCUUACGGAAGUGGUGUAGGUGCCCAACGCGUUCCUCCUGCCUGAUCCGUUCCCUAAUGGGGCGUCAGGAAAGCGGACGUGACGAAACAGGAAAUAGUGAGGAAUAAUUACAUACUUUCAGCGAGUGGAUGAGACGGUCGAUGCGGCGAGUGAAGAGCAUUCAUUUUUUAGCAUUUAUUUGAUCGUUCUGAGAAAAAGUGUCCGGUAACAUACACACACAUGUAUUGCCCGUCUUGUGGCCUUUGCUUCAUUCGCCUUAUUCACCCGGAACGUUCUAAAGACGUUGAGGGGUACACUUCAGGGGUACAUUCGGCAACGCACCAGCUGUCAUAGCGCCUCACUGUUGUGUGCCCAAAUGUUCGUCCUCAAAGAGAAAAAAUCCUACCGUGGACAGACUUUCCACCGUUUCCACAAAGAGCAGGCACUUCGCCGUGAAUGUAUAAAUCAAAUCAAGAGGGAUCCUGGUCCAUAUUUCAAGAUCAACGCUGAGACCAAAGUUUGCUCUGAGCACUUUGAGAAGCAGUGUUUUGUAAAGACCGCCUGUGGUAUCACAAAGCUUAUAAAGGAUGCUGUGCCUUCUGAGCUCUAGGAAGAGCAUUACUCAGCUGGAGCUUUCCCAUGGCCAAGAGAUGAACGCUAAACUUGAUAGUUUUUUUUCCUCCUCCUUCCUGCCUGCACUGUACAAAAAG
This is a long non-coding RNA of Engraulis encrasicolus (European anchovy), 1333 nucleotides long. RefSeq lists it as uncharacterized. The record is from RefSeq and is a predicted model, not a curated record. NCBI's taxonomy places the organism in Eukaryota, Metazoa, Chordata, Actinopteri, Clupeiformes, Engraulidae. The transcript has 3 exons.